This 440-nucleotide ribosomal RNA is filed under the name uncultured bacterium. RNAcentral describes it as "partial 16S ribosomal RNA". It matches the Rfam family "Bacterial small subunit ribosomal RNA", at positions 338 to 795 of the family's 1533-position model. The record is from RNAcentral.
CCUACGGGGGACAGCAGUGGGGAAUAUUGCACAAUGGGGGAAACCCUGAUGCAGCGACGCCGCGUGAGUGAAGAAGGAUCUCGGUACGUAAAGCUCUAUCAGCAGGGAAGAAAAUUACGGUACCUGACUAAGAAGCCACGGCUAACUACGUGCCAGCAGCCGCGGUAAUACGUAGGGGGCAAGCGUUAUCCGGAUUUACUGGGUGUAAAGGGAGCGUAGACGGCAGCACAAGUCUGGAGUGAAGUCCCGGGGCUUAACCCCGGAACUGCUUUUGAAACUGUGCGGCUGGAGUGCAGGAGGGGUAAGCGGAAUUCCUAGUGUAGCGGUGAAAUGCGUAGAUAUUGCGCAGAACUCCGAUUGCGAAGGCAGCAUACCGGAGGCGAUCUGACGCUGAGGCACGAAAGCGUGGGUAUCGAACAGGAUUAGAUACCCUUGUAGUC